AAUAGCUAAACUUAUAUAUAUAUUAUACGACAGCAGCUUUUUUAUAAAAUGGAAAACAUUUUUUGUACGUACUUUGGCAAGCAGAACUUGCAUUUCUAAAUCUGCAAAUCGUCUUCCUAAACACAUACGUGCGCCAUGACCAUAAGGUAACGAUGCAAAGGGGUGCAAAAUUUCGUUAGAAGAUUCUUUUAGCCACCGCUUUGGCUUAAACGUUUUUGCAUCUGCUACAUAUUGUUUCAUAUUUCCCGUUACUACAGUUGGGAA
Bombus pascuorum is the source of this 264-nucleotide long non-coding RNA. RefSeq lists it as uncharacterized. Lineage: Eukaryota; Metazoa; Arthropoda; Insecta; Hymenoptera; Apidae. The transcript is spliced from 2 exons. The record is from RefSeq and is a predicted model, not a curated record.